Molecule: long non-coding RNA, 1200 nt
Organism: Mauremys reevesii (Reeves's turtle)
Lineage: Eukaryota; Metazoa; Chordata; Testudines; Geoemydidae
Exons: 3
Source: RefSeq, a predicted model, not a curated record
CGCCCGUGGAGCCCUCCAUCCCCCCUUCCCCAGGGACCGCAGCACUUCCUGGAGCGGCGUGGGGCCGGGGACAGGGCAGGCAUGCAGGGAACCUGCCCUGGCCCCAGUGUGCACCGCUGCCACCCUGGAGUCACUUUAGCUACAGGACAGCCUCCUGGGAUACAAGGAAUGACAGUUCUAGGUGAAGUGUGCACAGUUUCACAGCUAUUUACAAAUUAAAAACAGAUCCUACAGUAUGUUGGAGCCACACUGGGGAGAGCAAACCAUAUGCAACACGUUGAAGCAACCACUUCUUCACUAGCAGCCUGCUUGCUACUGGAAGGGAUGCACAAGUAGCUUGCUACUGAGGAUAGACAAGGAGGAGUGCUGCAUAUCCAAGCACAAGGUCAACUUCUUGGCAAUACUAGUACAAAAGUUGAGCGUAGAACUAUUUUAGUAAGGAGUGUGAUUUUUCACCAAAAUAGUUAUACCAGUCCAAUGCUGAGUGUGGAUACAGUCAUACCAGCAUAGAGAUGCUUUAUAUCAGUAUAGAUUGUAUUAUUCUCAUUCCUGAGAAUAAAGCUACAUCAGCAAAAAGCACCUUUAUACUGGUACAAUUGCAUCCCCAUGAAGAGAUGUUGAACUGCUUUAACUAUACUAGUAUGAAUAAAAUGUUACAACUUUUAUGCUGAGACAAGACUUUAGAGUCACCUAAAAUGAAUAUUAAAAGGUAUCAUUUGUCACAUUAGAAAUGCGGGUUAGACUAGCAAACUGAAAGAAAUUAAACUGAUUUGACAUUGUCUGGAAGAUCUCUUAACAUUCUGUUCCUUCCUAUCUGAAAGCAAAUUUAUAGGAUGCUCUGCUUCUAUACAGAUCUUCAGCAUCAUUAGUUGCUGUGUAGAUAGCAAUUAUCUCAAGAGUUAUAAUUUGAUGAUGUAAUAUAAUUGACAUUUCUAUGGCUGUGCAAAGGAAAAACAUCCUAGGUGUGGAAAUGUGCUAAUGUUAUCGAAUAUGAGUCAUAUUUACACAUUUUCUUUCUGAAACAGAAAAAGUCACAACUAAAUUGAGAAUUUGGUCAGCCCUGUUGCUGGGAACAUGUGGAAAGAAUUUUCUCUUGAUCCAAGCCUAGUGUGUUAAGUUUUAAAAUUACUAGAAAGCAUUAUAUCUUUUUUCUCUUGUAAGCAUUUCUGACUUUAAUGCCUUAUACUUGUAUUCGCUUAA